UUUCCGUAGGUGAACCUGCGGAAGGAUCAUUACCGAGUGAGGGCCCUCUGGGUCCAACCUCCCACCCGUGUUUAUUUUACCUUGUUGCUUCGGCGGGCCCGCCUUAACUGGCCGCCGGGGGGCUUACGCCCCCGGGCCCGCGCCCGCCGAAGACACCCUCGAACUCUGUCUGAAGAUUGAAGUCUGAGUGAAAAUAUAAAUUAUUUAAAACUUUCAACAACGGAUCUCUUGGUUCCGGCAUCGAUGAAGAACGCAGCGAAAUGCGAUACGUAAUGUGAAUUGCAAAUUCAGUGAAUCAUCGAGUCUUUGAACGCACAUUGCGCCCCCUGGUAUUCCGGGGGGCAUGCCUGUCCGAGCGUCAUUGCUGCCCUCAAGCCCGGCUUGUGUGUUGGGCCCCGUCCCCCGAUCUCCGGGGGACGGGCCCGAAAGGCAGCGGCGGCACCGCGUCCGGUCCUCGAGCGUAUGGGGCUUUGUCACCCGCUCUGUAGGCCCGGCCGGCGCUUGCCGAUCAACCCAAAUUUUUAUCCAGGUUGACCUCGGAUCAGGUAGGGAUACCCGCUGAACUUAAGCAUAUCAAUAGGCGG
RNAcentral lists this ribosomal RNA (584 nucleotides) under Penicillium sp. Its description in RNAcentral is "eukaryotic LSU rRNA". The stretch from base 209 to 361 matches the Rfam family "5.8S ribosomal RNA". The record is from RNAcentral. Lineage: Eukaryota; Fungi; Ascomycota; Eurotiomycetes; Eurotiales; Aspergillaceae.